RNAcentral lists this ribosomal RNA (108 nucleotides) under Bacteroides uniformis. Lineage: Bacteria; Pseudomonadati; Bacteroidota; Bacteroidia; Bacteroidales; Bacteroidaceae. The record is from RNAcentral. RNAcentral also lists the same sequence under 2 other names.
AUGGCGGUUCAUAGUGGAGGUGAAACAUCUCUUCCCAUUCCGAACAGAGUCAUUAAGCCCUCUAACGCCGAUGGUACUGCAAAAGCGGGAGAGUAGGUAGCCGCCUCU